Molecule: ribosomal RNA, 253 nt
Filed under: uncultured bacterium
Lineage: Bacteria
Description: partial 16S ribosomal RNA
Rfam family: Bacterial small subunit ribosomal RNA
Source: RNAcentral
UACGUAGGGGGCCAGCGUUGUCCGGAAUCAUUGGGCGUAAAGAGCGUGUAGGCGGCUCGGUAAGUCCGCUGUGAAAGUCCAGGGCUCAACCCUGGAAUGCCGGUGGAAACUGUCGAGCUAGAGUCCGGAAGAGGCGAGUGGAAUUCCUGGUGUAGCGGUGAAAUGCGCAGAUAUCAGGAGGAACACCAAUGGCGAAGGCAGCUCGCUGGGACGGUACUGACGCUGAGACGCGAAAGCGUGGGGAGCAAACAGG